GACGAACGCUGGCGGCGUGCUUAACACAUGCAAGUCGAGCGGAAAGGCCACUUCGGUGGUACUCGAGCGGCGAACGGGUGAGUAACACGUGAGUAAUCUGCCCCUGGCUUUGGGAUAGCCACCGGAAACGGUGAUUAAUACCGGAUACGACCACUUCUCGCAUGGGAUGGUGGUGGAAAGUUUUUUCGGCCAGGGAUGUGCUCGCGGCCUAUCAGCUUGAUGGUGAGGUAAUGGCUCACCAUGGCUUCGACGGGUAGCCGGCCUGCGAGGGUGAACGGUCACACUGGGACUGUGACACGGCCCAGACUCCUACGGGAGGCAGCAGUGGGGAAUAUUGGACAAUGGGCGGAAGCCUGAUCCAGCAACGCCGCGUGAGGGAUGACGGCCUUCGGGUUGUAAACCUCUUUCAGCAGGGACGAAGCGCAAGUGACGGUACCUGCAGAAGAAGCACCGGCCAACUACGUGCCAGCCGCCGCAGUAA
Molecule: ribosomal RNA, 481 nt
Filed under: uncultured bacterium
Lineage: Bacteria
Description: partial 16S ribosomal RNA
Rfam family: Bacterial small subunit ribosomal RNA
Source: RNAcentral